Molecule: long non-coding RNA, 677 nt
Organism: Cyprinus carpio (common carp)
Lineage: Eukaryota; Metazoa; Chordata; Actinopteri; Cypriniformes; Cyprinidae
Exons: 4
Source: RefSeq, a predicted model, not a curated record
CAACUAGAAACUGUACUUCAUGAUUUGUAAGAGAUGUGACUUUUAAUCUUUUUAAAAAUCUAAUUAUCAUAGGAUUUCAAGGGGUUGGAAUUGGGCCUUAUGUCAUUGGACCGUCACUUGUGUUCAUCCUAAUUUGCAUAUUUGCUGGAGUCUUCAUUUAUAAGAGACAACACAAACGGCCUCAUCAGGAUAUACAAGGUUCACUAACACAAUCUGAGCCAAGGAGAUCAGUUUGGAACAGAUUCUCAAGUCGUUUUAGUAUGCCUGAAGGAAGAGCACCUUGGAGUAACAGGGAAAACAGGAGUGAUACCAGGCAAGUACAUCAUGAAAAUGUAAAAGAAAGAAAGUCUGGUUAGUGUUGGUUCUCUCCAGUGAAUUAGCUAGUGUUAUCUGCAGAUACACUGGAGAUGCUCCCAAAAGACCACCAAAGCCUGAACAAAGGCAGGUUGAAAAUAUAUUUAACAUAACUAAAAUUAACCAUAAAUUAUGUUAACAAUUAAUCAUAUUAUACAUUACCUGAUUAAACAUUACAUGACACACACAUCUUAACAGACGGAGCAUCUGGAGCCGAUUUUCUAGGUAUUCAGUAUUCACCUUUUUUAAAUCAUUGUGUGUUUCAUUAUUAAAUAACAAAGUCCUCCAAUUUGUUAAUUUUAUUCUCUUUUUGUUGUAGACAC